UCGGCAAGCCGGCUCCGUAACCUCGGGAAAAGGAGUGGCUCUGACGGCGCGCCGGGUCAGAACUGGAACGGACGCGGGGAUCCCGACUGUUUACUAGAAACACAGCGUCGCGAGGGCCGCACCCGGCGCUGGCGCGACGUGAUUUCUGCCCAGUGCCACGACCGUCACCGUGAAGCGAUCCGCCGAAGCCCUGGUAAACGGCGGGAGUAACUAUGACUCUCUUAAGGUAGCCAAAUGCCUCGUCGGGCAAUUUCCGACGUGCAUGAAUGGACCAACGAGGAUCCCACUGCCCGAGCCGCGCCUCCGCGAGCCUCCAGCCUCGGGAACGGGCGAGGGCCGGCCAGCGGGGCAAGAAGACCCUUUUGAGCUUGACUCCAGCCCGGGCCUGUGGGGCGGGGCGGCCGGCGCAGCGCACAGGGGAGGCCGCGCCCUGAGACACCCUGACGGCCGCCGCCGCCCCGCUCACCCGGUCGCGCGGGGACCCGCCCGGGCGGGGAGUUCGGCUGGGGCGGCGCGCCUGCUACACCGGACCGCAGGCGUCCCACGGCGGGCUCAGCGAGGACGGAGACCUCCCGCGGAGCAGAAGGGCACAAGCCCGCCCGACCCGCGCCCCCCGUGCCGGCGCGGGCCGCGAAAGCGGGGCCUACCGAUCCUUCGCCGCCCCGGCCGCGGGCGCGGAGGUGGCAGAAAAGUUACCACAGGGAUAACUGGCUUGUGGCCGCCGAGCGCCCGCAGCGACGCGGCUUUUUGAUCCUUCGAUGUCGGCUCUUCCUACCGUCCGCGCGCACCGGCGCGGAAGCGUCGGAUUGUUCACCCGUUCAAGGGAUCGUGAGCUGGGUUUAGACCGUCGUGAGACAGGUUAGUUUUACCCUACUGGCCCCGGGGCCAGAGCACGGCGGGCCAGUACGAGAGGAACGCCCGCCGCGGGCCGCCAGCCCCGCGGUUGCCCGGCCGGGCAGCGCCGCGCCGCCGCGCCCGGGGCCCUGCGCUGACCGCCUCUAAGCGCGCACCCCGCCUCGCGCCCCGCCCGGCCGCGCGCCCCAGCCCCGUGCCCCGUCGCCGAGCGGCCCCCGCCCGGGGAGACCACCCGGCGCGGCGCUCCUGUACGGCGCAGAGCCCUGCGAUCGCCUGAGG
This is a ribosomal RNA of Giardia duodenalis, 1134 nucleotides long. Lineage: Eukaryota; Fornicata; Diplomonadida; Hexamitidae. The record is from RefSeq and is a predicted model, not a curated record.